UGGCGAAGAAACCUAGGAGCUCCAAAAGUUAAGGAAUCCAUGUCCUCAGAAGCUACAGCAUAAACCUUUCCUGAUUUGCAAAGUGCAGCACACUCUGCCUCUGCUUCCGAAGGAGCCUCAAUUACAGGUACUCCCAUGAGUUUUAAAAGUCUCUUGCAGUCUUCAUUGUGCUGCUUUGUAACCUUCACUGUUCGCUUACUGAAUUUCUCAAUGUCUUCCUUGUUGCCAG
RNAcentral lists this unclassified non-coding RNA (229 nucleotides) under Hevea brasiliensis (rubber tree). The record is from RNAcentral. Lineage: Eukaryota; Viridiplantae; Streptophyta; Magnoliopsida; Malpighiales; Euphorbiaceae.